AUUGAACGCUGGCGGCAGGCCUAACACAUGCAAGUCGAACGGUAACAGGAAGAAGCUUGCUUCUUUGCUGACGAGUGGCGGACGGGUGAGUAAUGUCUGGGAAACUGCCUGAUGGAGGGGGAUAACUACUGGAAACGGUAGCUAAUACCGCAUAACGUCGCAAGACCAAAGAGGGGGACCUUCGGGCCUCUUGCCAUCGGAUGUGCCCAGAUGGGAUUAGCUAGUAGGUGGGGUAACGGCUCACCUAGGCGACGAUCCCUAGCUGGUCUGAGAGGAUGACCAGCCACACUGGAACUGAGACACGGUCCAGACUCCUACGGGAGGCAGCAGUGGGGAAUAUUGCACAAUGGGCGCAAGCCUGAUGCAGCCAUGCCGCGUGUAUGAAGAAGGCCUUCGGGUUGUAAAGUACUUUCAGCGAGGAGGAAGGGAGUAAAGUUAAUACCUUUACUCAUUGACGUUACCCGCAGAAGAAGCACCGGCUAACUCCGUG
RNAcentral lists this ribosomal RNA (490 nucleotides) under uncultured bacterium. Its description in RNAcentral is "partial 16S ribosomal RNA". It matches the Rfam family "Bacterial small subunit ribosomal RNA", at positions 30 to 507 of the family's 1533-position model. The record is from RNAcentral.